Molecule: ribosomal RNA, 492 nt
Filed under: uncultured bacterium
Lineage: Bacteria
Description: partial 16S ribosomal RNA
Rfam family: Bacterial small subunit ribosomal RNA
Source: RNAcentral
AGUGAACGCUGGCGGUAGGCCUAACACAUGCAAGUCGAACGGCAGCACAGUAAGAGCUUGCUCUUACGGGUGGCGAGUGGCGGACGGGUGAGGAAUACAUCGGAAUCUACUUUUUCGUGGGGGAUAACGUAGGGAAACUUACGCUAAUACCGCAUACGACCUACGGGUGAAAGCAGGGGAUCUUCGGACCUUGCGCGAUUGAAUGAGCCGGUGUCGGAUUAGCUAGUUGGCGGGGUAAAGGCCCACCAAGGCGACGAUCGGUAGCUGGUGUGAGGGGAUGGAUCAGCACACCUGGACCGGGGCCCCGUCCCAGCCUCUACCGGAGGCCACAGUUGGGAAUAUUGGACCAUGGGGGGAAGCCUGAUCCAGCCAUACCGCGUGGGUGAAGAAGGCCUUCGGGUUGUAAAGCCCUUUUGUUGGGAAAGAAAAGCAGCAGGUUAAUACCCCGCUGUUCUGACGGUACCCAAAGAAUAAGCACCGGCUAACUUCGUG